GCUUGUCUCAAAGAUUAAGCCAUGCAUGUCUAAGUACAAGCCUCAGUAAGGUGAAACCGCGAAUGGCUCAUUAAAUCACACCUAAUCUACUGGAAAGUUACUAGUUACUUGGAUAACUGAGGUAAUUCUAGAGCUAAUACAUGACCAGAGGCGCGCCCGCGCCGCAUUUAUUAGAUACAACCAGCCCUCCGGGCCUUGGCGAGUCAUAAUAACUGAGCUGACCGUAUUCGUACGGCGUUUCUUAUUAAUUUCUGCCCUAUCAGCUUUCGAUGGUAGGGUAUUGGCCUACCAUGGCGUUAACGGGUAACGGAGAAUUAGGGUUCGAUUCCGGAGAGGGAGCCUGAGAGAUGGCUACCACAUCCAAGGAAGGCAGCAGG
Molecule: ribosomal RNA, 377 nt
Filed under: uncultured fungus
Lineage: Eukaryota; Fungi
Description: partial small subunit ribosomal RNA
Rfam family: Eukaryotic small subunit ribosomal RNA
Source: RNAcentral